RNAcentral lists this ribosomal RNA (506 nucleotides) under uncultured bacterium. Its description in RNAcentral is "partial 16S ribosomal RNA". It matches the Rfam family "Bacterial small subunit ribosomal RNA", at positions 28 to 523 of the family's 1533-position model. The record is from RNAcentral.
GAUGAACGCUAGCUACAGGCUUAACACAUGCAAGUCGAGGGGUAACGAGAGGAAAGCUUGCUUUCCUUGUCGACGACCGGCGCACGGGUGAGUAACGCGUAUCCAACCUGCCCCCAACUAGGGAAUAACCUUGCGAAAGUAAGACUAAUACCCUAUAAUUUCCUCAGAUGUCAUCUGACGAGGAAUAGAGAUUUAUCGGUUGUGGAUGGGGAUGCGUCUGAUUAGCUUGUUGGCGGGGUAACGGCCCACCAAGGCAACGAUCAGUAGGGGUUCUGGGAGGAAGGUCCCCCACAUUGGAACUGGGACACGGGCCAAACUCCUACGGGAGGCAGCAGUGAGGAAUAUUGGUCAAUGGGCGGAAGCCUGAACCAGCCAAGUAGCGUGCAGGAUGACGGCCCUAUGGGUUGUAAACUGCUUUUAUACAGGAAUAAAGUUAGCCACGUGUGGUUAUUUGUAGGUACUGUAUGAAUAAGGACCGGCUAAUUCCGUGCCAGCAGCCGCCGUAA